CUGGCCCCGCCGUCUUCCUCCAGUCUCUCUCCCGGAACCCAGCUAAGUUAUUCCUGGCCCCGACCUCCCCAGCUCCGCUUGUCCCCGCUGACCCCUCCCAAGUCCCUCCCUCCCGGCGCUAACCCCGCCCACUGACCUCUCCCCGGGCGUUGGCCUCGUCGACAAUCUUCACGAAGCGCUCGAUCUGCUCUGGGCCCGGCGAGCAGAAGUCUGGGAUACGCAGUCGGUGCAGGGUGAGGCCGGGGCAGCUGUCGCUGUGCGGGGGCCCGCGCUCCGUCAGUGACACCAGAUGAGAAAACUGAAGCUCUGGAGAGGUUCAGGAACUUGACCAAGAGAUGACUGGUGGCGGGGGAUUUGAAACCAAGCAGCCUGGCUCCAGAAUCUUUAACAAAACGAGCACAGGCUCCGGACGCGCAGGCUCAGUGGCCAUGGCUCACGGGCCCAGCCAUUCCGCGGCAUGUGGGAUCUUCCUGGACCACAGCACGAACCCGUGUCCCUUGCAUCGGCAGGCGGACUCUCAACCACUGCGCCACGAGGGAAGCCCUACCCACUACUAUUGAUGAAAAAUCCCAACCUCUUCUGGAGAAAAUGAUUGAUGGGAAGAGAACUUUUGAGGCCAUUAAAACACGUUCCUGAUUCUCUUUAUUUUAGUAAAAAACUAAAUAUACCUAUAUCCCCUCAGAUGAGAAAGACAAGUCAAGUUUCAUGUCUGAUCUAAGGAAAAUUCAAAUACUGGGUUUGAAAUGCCAAUAAUUCUAUUCAAUUUCUUUUCUCUUGUGCAAACACUGAGGAAUAUACACUAUGUGAUUAUUCUGAUGUUCACACAGUUGUUUAAGAUCAGAAAAUUUUCAGAUACAUAUAUAAUUUAUUUCUGGGAUUGCUUAUAAACCAUAAUAGAAACAAGAUUAAUCAGUGAGCUUUAUUUAUUUGAAAUUCAUGACACUCUAAAGACCGUCUUUGGGCAGAAAUAUAUUUGAUUCACAAGAAUGUGGAAAGAUGGUGGGAAGAAAUUUCUUUUAGUGGUUAGCUUUGUUUUAUAGUAUUUUGAUCUCCAAGGAUAUAGUAGUCUUAGCCUUUCUGGUCCUUUUGUUUCCAAAACUCUGUGCCUCUUCCAUUCAGUUAAACAAAUAUAUACCAGAUAUGCCUAGGUAAACAAAAUAUACUGGGCUAUACACUUGAAUGAAGAUACAGAGAAAAACCCCAAACUUACAUUUUAGUGCUGUAGAAGAUUGUUAUAACCAUGACCCCAAUGAGUCAUACCUACCAGUAUCCACACCCUUAUACAUUCUUCUGUCACAUUGACAUUGGGCUCAGCCACGUGACUUGCUUUGGCCAAUGGACAUAAACAAAUGUGAUGGAGGCAGAGAUUUGAUAAGCACUUGCACAUUGAGGCUUGUCCUCCUAGAACCCUGAGACCACCAUGCAAUGAAGAAGCCCAGCAUUAAAUACUAUGUGGUAGGAGAGGCCAGUUAAGUCCAAUAAUCAAGGGCAACCCUCCCAGCUGAGUGCAGUUGCAUCAGUGACGCAAGACAUGACCAGCAGAAGAAUGAUCCAGCUAACAUGGAAUAGUGAUAAUCAUGAGGUCAAGUAAGUUUUGGAAGAGUUUGCUACCGAGAUGGAAAACUGAUAUAAAAAUUGAUAUGCAGAAGUGGCACGUUGCUGUAUUAAAAACCUAAACUAUGUAGCAUUGGCUUUGGGACUGAGGGUCUGGCAGAGGUUAUAGGGACAGCAAUUAGAGUGCUGGUGGAGACCAGAACACCUGAGAGGAAACUGUUACUGGAGGCUGAUAAAGGGCACCCCAUAGUAUAUAAUAGUGACACAACUGGCAACACUGUUACCUCCAGUAAUUGGAAGACAGAGAAUGUACUUAAUCAAGUUGUGGGUGUGGCUUAAGAUUUCCACUUAGAAUGCUGAGGGGGUCAAUUAACUUUUUAAAAGUUAUAUAUAAUAGAAUAUGAGGAGAGAGAAACUAAAGAACUGCUCCAUUUGUAAGCAGAAUUUAAAGUACAUAUGGAGGGUCCAGGAUAUGCUGAGCUGGGAACUAAAACCAUUUCACAUUUCCAGUCUCUUCAACCUGCAAAAAAUUCUCAAAGUAAGAAAUGACCUCAGGAUACAGAUCAAAUCAAGAGUGUGGCUAUAAGACUCUGUGAAGACCACAGUAAGAUUUUACAUGGUGUCUACCAGACUCUCUUAGCUAGAUAAAAGGGCUUCCAAGAAUCUUAAGGGCAUUUUUCCCGUAGCACCUUGACAUGCUGAGCAAAGUAGAGGCCCAUCUUAAAAAUAAUUGUUAGUAUAGCUUUUGUCUAAUGAAAUGAACUAUAACCUGGUGUGUGGAAAGUCCACAAAGUUUAUAAAGGAACUGGGCCAGUUUAGACCAAAGCAUGCAGGAAGCAAGCUGAGAAAGUUACUCAGCUGCAAACAAAGGCUAUUUCUUAUUGAAAAAGAAGACCGCUUCAGAGGGCAGAGCUAACCACUUCCAGCGAAUAAAACUAGGCUCUAGCAAAGAACCAUUUCCCAUACUCAGAGUAGGAGGCUCUGCAACAUUUGUCUGGCUGGAUUUCAGAAUUGCUAUGGACCAGUGGCUGCUAUGUGGCUCCCUGUUCCUCCCCCUUAUAAAUGGCAGUGCCUAUUGGGUAUUCCAUUCUCACAGUUGUAUGCUGGGUAUGUGUAGAGCAGAUAAGUUGUUUUUUCUGUCCAUGAGUCCCUGAAUGGUGAGAAACCACACCUGAGAAGCUACAUGAGGAAUUGCCCUUGAGGAGCCUCAACCACAUCUGGACCUGAGCCAGAUCAGGAGAUCCUGGACUUGUAGUUUGAUGCCAUGAUUGGAUGAGCUCUUGAUAGUUUCAAAUAAGAGGGAUGUGAAUCACUAGGUCCAGGGAGAAGACUGUGGUACCUUGUUAUAGUAAUAACCCUCAAUAUAUUAUGCCCUAUGGUAUCCAUGCCCCUGGCUAUACAAUGACUCUAUGCUUGGCUAUAAGACUUG
Molecule: long non-coding RNA, 2983 nt
Organism: Mesoplodon densirostris (Blainville's beaked whale)
Lineage: Eukaryota; Metazoa; Chordata; Mammalia; Artiodactyla; Ziphiidae
Exons: 3
Source: RefSeq, a predicted model, not a curated record